AUAUCUCUCCGUACGGGAAGGAUGAGAAGCUUCGACUAAGGUUCGAUUCGAGCGCAGCGAGAAAGCGUUGCCGCAGGCAACGACCCG
RNAcentral lists this small RNA (87 nucleotides) under Salmonella enterica. RNAcentral describes it as "partial RtT sRNA". It matches the Rfam family "RtT RNA", at positions 1 to 86 of the family's 130-position model. Rfam says of the family: This family represents a bacterial cis-regulatory element known as RtT RNA. The exact function of RtT is unknown although it is thought that it may be involved in changing the cellular response in relation to amino acid starvation. Lineage: Bacteria; Pseudomonadati; Pseudomonadota; Gammaproteobacteria; Enterobacterales; Enterobacteriaceae. The record is from RNAcentral. RNAcentral also lists the same sequence under 3 other names.